This 225-nucleotide long non-coding RNA is filed under the name Musa acuminata (dwarf banana). RNAcentral's name for it is "long non-coding RNA (MACU_LNC010528)". Lineage: Eukaryota; Viridiplantae; Streptophyta; Magnoliopsida; Zingiberales; Musaceae. The record is from RNAcentral.
UAGGUAGCAUUGGCAACUUUCACAACCUACCCGUUGGUCAUCAUUCAUCACAGAAUUAUCCUUUUAGCAAUGCAAAAACCAAUAAGUAGACUUACAUGAAAUAAAACCUUUAUUAUCAAGCUUCCAAAGCUAAAAAUCAUCAUAUGACAUAAGGGCAAAAUCCAUUUAACAAAUGACCUUCAAUAAAACACUCCCAGUGAGAAAUUUUAACUUGUUCAAAUUUUA